ACCAAGGCGACGAUCUAUAGCUGGUCUGAGAGGACGAUCAGCCACACUGGGACUGAGACACGGCCCAGACUCCUACGGGAGGCAGCAGUGGGGAAUAUUGGACAAUGGGCGAAAGCCUGAUCCAGCAAUACCGCGUGUGUGAAGAAGGCCUUAGGGUUGUAAAGCACUUUCAAUUGGGAGGAAAACCUACCGGUCAAUACCCGGUAGCUUGACAUUACCUUUAGAAGAAGCACCGGCUAACUCCGUGCCAGCAGUCGCGGUAAUACGGAGGGUGCAAGCGUUAAUCGGAAUUACUGGGCGUAAAGCGUGCGUAGGCGGUUCGUUAAGUCAGAUGUGAAAGCCCUGGGCUCAACCUGGGAACUGCAUUUGAAACUGGCGGACUAGAGUUUAGUAGAGGGGAGUGGAAUUUCAGGUGUAGCGGUGAAAUGCGUAGAUAUCUGAAGGAACACCAGUGGCGAAGGCGACUCCCUGGACUAGAACUGACGCUGAGGUACGAAAGCGUGGGUAGCAAACAGGAUUAGAUACCCUGGUAGUCCACGCCGUAAACGAUGUCAACUAGCCGUUGGUCCUAUUUACAGGAUUAGUGGCGCAGCUAACGCAUUAAGUUGACCGCCUGGGGAGUACGGCCGCAAGGUUAAAACUCAAAGGAAUUGACGGA
RNAcentral lists this ribosomal RNA (658 nucleotides) under uncultured bacterium. RNAcentral describes it as "bacterial SSU rRNA". It matches the Rfam family "Bacterial small subunit ribosomal RNA", at positions 267 to 917 of the family's 1533-position model. The record is from RNAcentral.